GCGAGGCCUGGGCCACGUAAGGCCCUCGGCCACCUGACUGCUUGCUUUCUUGGGACCUCUGUGGGUUGGGGUUGGGGAGCGGGUCUUUUAUUGCCCUGAUGACUUGAUGUUUUUCCCAGCCAACAGUAAGGGGUUAUCGACCUGUAAUUUCUCUGUGAGAAAGUCUGGAGGGGGCCAGGCCUGGUAUCUACCCCCUCCACCUCGGAGCUGGGUCGGUACCGUCCGCCGCCAUCUUGCUUCUCCACGGUGCCGCAGUGGCCCACUCUUUGGCCACUGGCAGGCAUUGGGAAGGGAAGGGGAGGGAGCUAGCGGGGCCUGCUGGCGGAGAGGAGGUGGUGAGAGGAGGAGCUCGAGUGAGAGCGGUCCUUGUUCUGCUCAUGGACAUAAGCUCACCUUUUUCCAUAAUUCACUGAUUGACCAGCUGGGGAGUUCAGCUGAGCCAUAUCUCCCCAGACUUGAGAGGGCCUGAGUCACAGGGCACUGUGUGGCGGCCACCCCCAGAUCUCAGCUUGGAGCCAGCAGAGCCAGCUUUGCUCGUUUUUUAAAUUUCUCUUUGGACCCACUACUGUGGGUGUGAUUGCUGAUUUUUGUUUUUGUUGGCCCGGGAGCUCCCCCUGGAGGUCAGAGGAGCAAAAUGUGCCCAAGGACCAGAGCUCCUUGCUACCCACUGCUUGUGUCUGCAGGCAGAGGGGGAAAUCUGGCCUUGUGUAGAUCAGGCCCCCUGUCUUUUCUCUCCCAGGGUACCAGUGGUCUGUAAGGACCUCCCCUCUCUUCCGUUUUCCCCCACCUGUUUUUCAGUCUUAAAAUCAUUGUACAUAAUAUUCAUAUUAUAUAAAUAUAUAUCUAUGGCGAGAGAGGAGAUUGUUAGUGAUUGUGUGCAAUUUUAUUUAUCAGAACUUGGUGGCCUUUAUUGUGAGUUUUUUCCUUUUUUGUUGUUGUUGUUGUGGAGGAACCUCCUGCUCUUUGCCUGUGAAAGUCUGGCUGAAAGUCUUCCAUUCCCAGAAUCUCUUAUUAGCCAAAUAGCCCCUUGUCGGGUACGUGGAGGGACGAGGUUUCGGAGGAGAGAUCACCCCUUCUCCUCCUCCUCACUGACACUUGUUCUCAAGGUUACAGGGUUCAAACAUAUCACAUUAUUAUUGUCAUUAUUGUUGUCUUAGUUUUAGUUUAACCAAAGGUUAUCAGAGCCAGUUGGGCUUGGACCUCAGCUGCUGAAAAGAUUUUCCGUUUCUGGGAGGCUGGGAAACUGGCUGCCUCUCAGGCCUCCUCUGCCCAGGUUGAGGGAGGCAUUGAAUUCCAUGGACAGGUAGGCAGAGUGGAGGCCUGCCCCGGGUUUUUCCUCAAGGUGGUGGGAGGGUGACAGACCUAUCUUUAGAGUUAAGACAGUUAGGCAACAAUGUAAGCAUUGGGGGGUAACUGAGGUUACCAUGGUGAUUGCUGUCCAAUGGUAUUAUUUUUGCUUUCCCCCUUGGAUACAUAGAUAUUUGUCUUUGGGGACUAGCGUACUCUGAAUUUAUCUGGGGAGUAUGGAAAUGGCAGGAGCCAGAGUCAGAUGCUGGCCAGAAAGGUCCAUCUUGCUGGUUUUCAAUAGCUGUUCUCGCUGGGGAGCAAGGACUUGGGGCUGGUGGAUGGGGGGACAACAAGAGUGUUAGUGACCUGCCUUCAGGGUGCGAUCCUGGUUUUGGCCUGGCUGCCUCCCUCCCCACCAAGUUCUUUUUUGAGUUAGUUGCCAGUGGGCCCCGCUUGUACCCUUGUCAUGGGCCCACAGCUUGCCGAGAAAGACCCCAACGCUCACUGGGGCAGCACCAGGUCCAGUUGGGAUGAACUGGUCCAUCCUUUGUAAAGAUGUAAAUACGUAAUUUUGGUUUUCUAUUUCUCAGCCCAGUGUCAUAUUGACAUUGGUAUUUUAGAAUUGGUCUCAGAUGGGCUCUCCUGUGCUGCCCUCUCUCACUCUCCUAUUUUGGGGGGUUUUAUAAAAAGAGAGGAUUGGGGAGGGACAGGGAGAGUAGCUUCCUUUGGGCUCCCUGGUUGUGGAGCACACACACACACACACACACACACACACACACUUCUCUGAGACUCUGAACAGGGAAAAAAAUGAUUGGCAAGUAAACACAUUUUGUUUUCUUGUGGCAGUAUGUCUAGAGGUGUCUGACGGGCCUGUCCAUCAUGGAUUUAGCUCUGUGGAUGUAGCUCAUAUGACCUGUGGAGAAUCAGACCACUUUGGCUUGGGAUGGGGGAGAGGGUGUGGGGCAGGGGAUCAUAUAAGGUGUAACUUAAGCUAAAUGUAAUCUAUUUAUAAAGGAAGAGACUCAUCUAUUUUUAUGAAAGUUUUUUUUUAAAUCUAGGGUAGGCAGUUAUGGUAGCCCAGCAUUUUUCUGUGGACAAGAUGCAUGUUGCUGCUGGAUUUAAUAUAAUCAGUACCCCUCACCUGUCUCCGCAUCAUCACCACCUACUCAUCCACACCCACGAGCGGCUUCAGCAGAGUGUAGGUCACCCCUCACCUCAUUUCCUUGUCCCUUGAUCCCCCAGCUCCUUGGUCCUUGCAAGUCCAGGGGGCUGGGCACUUGUGGGAGUGGGUGGGCAGUGGGGAAUUCAGAACGGAGGUGGGUGGUGGGAGGGAAGGGGGGCACUAGGUAGGGGACAAGCUCUGCUUCAGAAGGUGGGCUCCGAUUAGUUGCUCAAACUCUGGUCUGCCAAGAUCCAUUGCCAAGUCAGCUGUAUUUGGAGAGAGCUGAGAAGCAGUAGGGUGUGGGUGGCAAUGGGCUGUUGGUUCACGGAGCCCACAGCUUCCUUGGGGCCCGGGCCUCAGUGAGUCCAAGGUUGUCAGGCAGCCUGAGCAGGAGUGCAAAUGCCAUGAGAUGCCUACAGCCCAGCCCUGGCUGUGCCAACCCCAGGCCAAGGCCUGGGAUGUCGUCCUUGCUGUGCUCUUCCAGGGACCUGGAUGAGGAACUAGGGUGCUGGGAGCUUCCUGGGUCCUCCACCUUGAGACACUAAGCUCUGGUUCUAGAGGGCACUCUCCUAGAGUGGGGAGUCUGGAAGCAGCCAGGUGGGUGUCGGUAAAGGCAGAUUCUCUCUGGAAGGGAAUUUUCCACGAGUGGAAGAUUUCCAGGCUCAGGGUGGGCUGCUUGUUAGUCUCAGGCUAAAUCCCUCACCAUUCCCUCUGCCAAGCCUUCAAGGAGAUGAGGCAAAGGCAAACCCACCCACAGACCCCUUCGUGGACAUUUUAGCAUCUACCUGAUUUUUAGCCCCAUCCAGGGAGACUUUCUAUCCUGAGGUCCCAUCCUACCCCACUGUUGCUGUUUGUCUGCCAGCUGGGUCUAGCAUCAAGGGGAAGGGGGGGUUUAUAUUCAUUGAAAGACUACUGAUCCUACCGGAAACCAACCUGUUUACUGUACUGUUGUAAAUAUCAUGCCCUUUAUAUCCUGUAUAUUGGCUUCUUUUAAAUAAAGUGAAAUGUCUUAG
This 3462-nucleotide long non-coding RNA is filed under the name Phocoena sinus (vaquita). Its description in RNAcentral is "lncRNA (ENSPSNG00000001114.1)". The record is from RNAcentral. Lineage: Eukaryota; Metazoa; Chordata; Mammalia; Artiodactyla; Phocoenidae.